GAUGAACGCUGGCGGCGUGCCUAAUACAUGCAAGUCGAGCGAACAGACGAGGAGCUUGCUCCUCUGACGUUAGCGGCGGACGGGUGAGUAACACGUGGAUAACCUACCUAUAAGACUGGGAUAACUUCAGGAAACCGGAGCUAAUACCGGAUAAUAUAUUGAACCGCAUGGUUCAAUAGUGAAAGACGGUUUUGCUGUCACUUAUAGAUGGAUCCGCGCCGCAUUAGCUAGUUGGUAAGGUAACGGCUUACCAAGGCAACGAUGCGUAGCCGACCUGAGAGGGUGAUCGGCCACACUGGAACUGAGACACGGUCCAGACUCCUACGGGAGGCAGCAGUAGGGAAUCUUCCGCAAAGGGCGAAAGCCUGACGGAGCAACGCCGCGUGAGUGAUGAAGGUCUUCGGAUCGUAAAACUCUGUUAUUAGGGAAGAACAAAUGUGUAAGUAACUAUGCACGUCUUGACGGUACCUAAUCAGAAAGCCACGGCUAACUACGUG
Molecule: ribosomal RNA, 497 nt
Filed under: uncultured bacterium
Lineage: Bacteria
Description: partial 16S ribosomal RNA
Rfam family: Bacterial small subunit ribosomal RNA
Source: RNAcentral